RNAcentral lists this ribosomal RNA (404 nucleotides) under Actinomycetes bacterium. RNAcentral's name for it is "Actinobacteria bacterium partial 16S ribosomal RNA". It matches the Rfam family "Bacterial small subunit ribosomal RNA", at positions 355 to 776 of the family's 1533-position model. The record is from RNAcentral. Lineage: Bacteria; Bacillati; Actinomycetota; Actinomycetes.
UGGGGAAUAUUGGACAAUGGGCGCAAGCCUGAUCCAGCCAUGCCGCGUGAGUGAUGAAGGCCCUAGGGUUGUAAAGCUCUUUCACCGGUGAAGAUAAUGACGGUAACCGGAGAAGAAGCCCCGGCUAACUUCGUGCCAGCAGCCGCGGUAAUACGAAGGGGGCUAGCGUUGUUCGGAUUUACUGGGCGUAAAGCGCACGUAGGCGGACUAUUAAGUCAGGGGUGAAAUCCCGGGGCUCAACCCCGGAACUGCCUUUGAUACUGGUAGUCUUGAGUUCGGGAGGGGUGAGUGGAAUUCCGAGUGUAGAGGUGAAAUUCGUAGAUAUUCGGAGGAACACCAGUGGCGAAGGCGGCUCACUGGCUCGAUACUGACGCUGAGGUGCGAAAGCGUGGGGGGCAAACAGG